UACGGGGGGUGCAAGCGUUGUUCGGAAUCAUUGGGCGUAAAGAGCGUGUAGGCGGCCGAGUAUGUCAGAUGUGAAAGUCCCGGGCUCAACCUGGGAAGUGCAUUUGAAACUGCGCGGCUAGAGUAAGGGAGAGGAAAGUGGAAUUCCUGGUGUAGAGGUGAAAUUCGCAGAUAUCAGGAGGAACACCUGUGGCGAAGGCGGCUUUCUGGCCCUAUACUGACGCUGAAGCACGAAAGCGUGGGGAGCAAAU
Molecule: ribosomal RNA, 250 nt
Filed under: uncultured bacterium
Lineage: Bacteria
Description: partial 16S ribosomal RNA
Rfam family: Bacterial small subunit ribosomal RNA
Source: RNAcentral